This 427-nucleotide ribosomal RNA is filed under the name uncultured Nitrosospira sp. RNAcentral's name for it is "bacterial SSU rRNA". It matches the Rfam family "Bacterial small subunit ribosomal RNA", at positions 353 to 772 of the family's 1533-position model. Lineage: Bacteria; Pseudomonadati; Pseudomonadota; Betaproteobacteria; Nitrosomonadales; Nitrosomonadaceae. The record is from RNAcentral.
AGUGGGGAAUUUUGGACAAUGGGGGAAACCCUGAUCCAGCCAUGCCGCGUGAGUGAAGAAGGCCUUCGGGUUGUAAAGCUCUUUCAGCCGGAACGAAAAGGUUACGGUUAAUACCCGUGACUAAUGACGGUACCGGAAGAAGAAGCACCGGCUAACUACGUGCCAGCAGCCGCGGUAAUACGUAGGGUGCGAGCGUUAAUCGGAAUUACUGGGCGUAAAGCGUGCGCAGGCGGUCUUGUAAGUCAGAUGUGAAAUCCCCGGGCUCAACCUGGGAACUGCGUUUGAAACUACAAGGCUAGAGUGUGGCAGAGGGGGGUGGAAUUCCACGUGUAGCAGUGAAAUGCGUAGAGAUGUGGAGGAACACCGAUGGCGAAGGCAGCCCCCUGGGUUAACACUGACGCUCAGGCACGAAAGCGUGGGGAGCAAA